Molecule: long non-coding RNA, 6064 nt
Organism: Rattus rattus (black rat)
Lineage: Eukaryota; Metazoa; Chordata; Mammalia; Rodentia; Muridae
Exons: 5
Source: RefSeq, a predicted model, not a curated record
CUCUACCAGGCAGAGCGCGUGCGGCCGCCGAGCACAUGGACCCGCUGGUCAAGCGGGUUGUACAAGGCCAGAAUGAAGAGAAGCUGCGAGUCAGUAUGGAACUCAGAGGUCCCCGAGUGGAUAUCCGCGUGGAAAGGAUGUUGGCAGCCCGGGUGACCUCGGAGUCACGGCUGGAUCCACCCUCCUGUAAGUUCCAAGUUUAUCCCCUGGAAACUCUGGAGCCCAGGGAUGCACAGUCUGGAUAGAGGAAAGUGGCUUUUGCAUUCCCACGAGCGCGUGUUAACCUUGCACUUUUCCUCAUCCCUAGACUCGAGAUUGCCAGAGAGUUUGGGUGUGGGUGAGGAGUGUGGGUGCAAAGGAGAUUACAUAGAAUGGCCUUUACAUAGAGGUAAUUCUGGAUUUAUGCACUUGAUCAAAAGCCCGUUUUCUCAUGUCUAAAAGAAAAAGAGACGCCCCCUGCAAUCUGCGCAGAUUUGGGGCCGCUGAUGUGGUUUGGAGGCCUCAUUUAUGAAACUGGAAGUCUGAAUCUAGUGAUGCUCCUUCCAUCCCUGGCCAGCCCUCCUCUGAGACACCCCCUCGGGGCAGAAAGAAGGUGAUCUCCUAAAACUCGGUGGCAUGAAACUUUCUGUGCUUUUGUAUUGCAUUCCUGUGUUUGUUGAAGGCCCCCACACCUUCAUCAUUACUAAUUCUUUUGGGGUAGGUUGUUGCUUUAACGAGAUUGGCCCUUUCCUGGCUAAUAUUUUCUGCUGUACCUAUAAGUGGUGUGGGAGAGCUGUACAGACUUCCAGGAAGCGCAGCCAUGAAGCUACAUGUGCCUAUGUGGAGACAUACCAUGGAUUUUCCUAUGAGUUUACUGGUGUGCAAUAAUCUGUUCUUGAGCUCUUCUGGACAAUCUAGAAUCUUAGGAAGGAGAGAAAUCACUUAAGAGAGUCUAGGGAGAAGUAAGGUUUCUGUUUUCUUUCUGCUCUUGUGUUUUUAAGGGACUGAUGUCAUUUGGCCCAGAGAAAGCCAUGGAGAAGUGUGUGUGUGUGUGUGUGUGUCUGUGUGUCUGUGUGUCUGUGUGUGUGUCUGUCUGUGUGUUGGGGAGGGCUAAGGAUGCAGGUCUCUGUUUAACUGCAUGUGGUAGGAUGUUGCAGGCCUGUUUUGCAUAUGGGCAGUGACAAGUUUGGGCUUGUUCACUUGCACAGUCCUAUGGUCAUAGCUAGUCCUUCUCAAGCUCUAGCCAGUGGCAAAGCGUUUGUGUUUCAAUCCUUGGAACUCCAAGUGGGACUUCUUAAAAGAUUUAUAAGGAACAAAGCUGUCAGGAAAGCAGAAAUACACACGGACUCCAUGACUAGAAAAACCUCGUGGUGGCCUGCUCUCCGGUGCUUGGAAGUGUGCUAGUUACAUCUUGGAGGCCUGAUUUUCUUAACUCGACCCUGGUGAGAAGAUGCCCUCCGGCAGGCUAUGCUUGCAGACUCCACGGAGCCUCUCUCAAGAUUUCCUGAACCUUGUGGAUUUACAGUAAGACGAAGUUCCCUGGGGAGUAAUUCUGGUGGAUGCAAAUUCUGGAGUAAUACACCUGGCUUGCCUUGAGAUGUUACAAGUGGCCUAAUGGAUUCUUCUAGCCUGGACGCCCACUGGGGACAAGGAUCAUUAGUGAGAGGAUUGUAUCUCUAUCCUUGACUCCAUGGGAAUAUUUGCUCUGAUCUCUCAGGCUCCCUCUAAAAUGUAAGUCCCCAAGACCCCUCUCCUUUCAAUGAAGUGUUUCUGAUGUGUUCCUGUGCUUUACUCCAAGCUAUCCUGGCUGCUGGCUGAGGGCUGUAUGUUCAUGUGGCUGCUCUGAGAAGUUCUGCUGUCUUCUAUGUUCAUCUAUGUGUCUGGCGUGACACUGGAAGCCUGUGGGUGAAAGACAAAAAAGUAGAACUUGUUCUAUGUUAAAAUAAUAUUAAAAAGAGAAUCCCCUCUGGAGCUACCCUUGCCCAAGUUGAUGGGUACUUACCAAUUGAAAGUUCUUAUUUCUGUCUAGACUCUAAAUGCUUUGAAGGCAAGGCCUGAGGAGGAUGGCUAUGUCUCUGAGACUUAGUGGGUACCUGGCAUUGGUCUCUCACCCUGCAAGAAUGAGAAAUGAAGAUGUGAUGGUUAAUUCAUUAAGGCACUGGCAAUUUCAUAAGGAAGAUAGACACAAUAAAACCCUUUCUUGACUCUAUGCCAAGAGCUGAGAACACCACGGGACCAGAUGGUUGGUACCAUGUGUGUCAGCAGGUAGCUGUUCUGAGUUUAAAUCUUUACCACCCUAUGUGACUCAGGGCCAGUGACAAUCCGAUUCCCUUCUCCCUUUAGCAUGACUGAAGUUAGUAUUCUCUUCUGUCACAGGGUUGACAGAGCUGAGGCUCACAACAGGCUGAACAUGUGCCUGAUGCUUUGCACAGGGUCAGGACCAGCUUCUGGGGAGGGUGAGCAUUGGUUGGCCCUGAGAAGAUUCUAAGGAGCCAGGUGAGAAGCAUUGAUUUAAGAGAUGCCAAGUAACUCAGCGGAUGUCACACAGAUGAUAAAGAGCAAGGAUAGACUUCUUCAUUUCAUGCUUCAGGCAAUUCUCUAAGACAGCUGAUUUCUCCAGAGCUGGUAGGUAAGUAUCUACCUCCCAGAAUGCAAUGUGUCCAGAGAUUAUAAUAAGUGAAAUAUUGAAUUGCCAACUUCUUUUCUUCUUCUACGCUUGGAUUCUUUUUUAAGUUUUUUCCCCCCUGUAGGAGACAGACUUGCUCACGUGAUAGAUCCGGCCAUGAUGUUGGCCCUAAGAGAACGAGAUGCUCUUUGCAGAAGACAUAGAAGAUUCCUGAAACUGGGAAAGGGGCCUAGAAACCUGGAGAAGAGUGAAGAAGGCAUUUUCCCUCCCCUGCCUAGGCAUCUGCCACCAUAUUCAAUACUUUCUCCAGGGUUCUUGUCAUUGCUCAGGUAUCGUCUUUCAGUUUAGUUGGAUGGAACAUUAGUCUGGAAAUUUUACUUUCAAUUGAACUCGCUCGUUGAACUGCCUCCAUCUUCAAAGGAUCCCAUUAGGGUAAUUAUAGCUAUGGCUACAAAGCAUUAUUUGCACUCAAUUUCAGCUUUAGGUAAUUCAGUUUAGAUGUUUUAUGGUUUCACUAUUUGGAGGUGUAUAAACCCAUCACUUUCAUACACUUCCCAGGAGUUGUUUUAGAAUCCCAAGUCAAAGUAAGAGUUCCCUUGGUGUUUCAAGUAUAAUACCCUCUGAGCCAUCUCUGCCCUGGGAUCACUUUCUUCGUUUUCUUACCUCUAUCUUCUUUAACUCUUAAGCAGCAGACAGGUAGCCUAGUUCAUGCUCUCUUUCCCCAAAAGUUUAGACCUCAGCUUGUGGACCAGGACUGUCUUGUUUCACAUCACAUGCCUCCCUCAGAGUAGGUGCUUGCAUGAUGAAUGGAUAGAUGGGUGAAUGAAUCCUCAAAGUAUGACUUGUAUUUUUUCCUUUUUAAAAAGUCAGUAUUUUAUUAUAUCAAUACUGAAUGAUUUUGUUCCUUUGAGAGUAAGAAACCCAGAAUUUUUCCAAGAAGGUGGAGAUGCUUUUAAUGUAUCUUUGCUGAUCGUUGCCUCAUCCUCAUCUCUGCAUGAGGAAUAAUUUGUCAUCCUUUUGGAGCACAUUUUUCUCUGGCCUUUCAUUUGUAUUUAUGUAUACAUCCACACAGAGAACCGCCAACUUGUGAGCAGAUUGCUUUGCUGUAUGUUUUCCACACAGCAGUCUGCCGAGCCUGCUGACAUAUAGAAGUCCCCUUUCCCCCUUUUUAGCUAAUACAAACUAUUAUCAUGCUAACUGGAUUUGCCACCUCUCAUCUGAACCAAAUGAAAUUGUGUUUGUAGGUAUACAUGUAUGUGUGUUCCGUGUAUGGAGACACCAGAUGCUAAUCAUGGAUGCUAUUUCUCAAGCACUGUUGAUCUUAUUGUUUUUGUGACAGGUUUCCUAUUGGCUUGGAAUUUGUCAAUUAGGUUUGCUGGCUGGAUAGAAAGCCACAUGGAUCCUCUUGUCUUGGUCUUCUUACAUUUGGAUUAAAGUCAUUUCCUGAAUCUAUGACAAGACUUGAGAGACCACCAAAGCCCAAGAGGUCUUGUUUCACAAGAGAAUCUUCAGGUGUUUUAGGCCUUUAUGACACAUCCCAAGCCCUUCAGAGAGCCACAAGAAUGGCUCAGAGGAAAUUCUAAACCACUAUGACUCAUGGGUCACCUGGAGGUGCAGGCUGCAGCUAUGUUAAACCUAUGAGGUGAUGAUAAACCACACAACUGGAAACCAGAAUGGAAGAACAGAAGCUGGAUCCUUGACAGAAUUGUUGAUGGAAUAGUCCAUCAUCCGGGGCUGAGACCACUUCCAAAUUUCUUGUUUGGUGAAACAAUUCCUGAUUGUUUACAUUUGUUUCUUUUGAGCUGUCUCUUACUUGUAGCUGAAAGCAUUUCUAAUAGAUAUUCAAAUUAUUUGCACAGCAAGGGGCAGCCAGAGCUCCAGGGGUUCCAACCUAAAAUAAUCUAUGGAACCACAUAUAAGUGUCUUAGCUUCUUCAUGAAUUCCUUUGCUCAUCUGUGUAAUGCUCAAUAAAUGUAAAUUGAAUCCUGAAUGAGGGACAGUGGCACUAUUGAAGUCAUGAUUGUCAAUCUUAUUAACUGACUAAAUAUUUACAAAAAGGUUGGAACAUUGCCGUACUCACAGUAAGCGGCUAUGGAAGGGGUUGGCAAAUGGACUGAGAAGAAAAGCAGCCAUGUUUGUAGGCUUUCUUUUGCUUCUUGAUCCUCAAGCCUCUGUGGUCUUUAAGCAGAACCUUGACCCCUUCACUACUGGGGCCCAUGGAGCAUGAAAUGCCCCCCAAACUGUCUCAAAACACCCACACUAGUAGUUUCUUUUUGACACAAAAGACCUCUUAGUGAAUGCUGGAUUGUGAAAAAGAAGGGGUUGCUACCACCAAAUCAUGUCAGUAGAUGACCAAAAUACCCAAAGCAACUCAUGCAAAUAGAUUCAAGUCUCUCUGGACAAGGCUUCUGGAAGGCUCUAGAAUUUUUGAAGCUCAUUUUUGUAAGGGUCUUUCCAUCUGGUGGCCUUUUCUUUUGCAUCUCCUCUCCUCUUUCUCAUCAGAGGUAGAGGGAUGGGAGGAAGAGUAGUGCUUGGGCUCUCCGCCCUUUCUGUGUAGCGAGGAACCAGACUGCUGAGCAUGUGUGAAGCAGCAGGUGUGAUUUGGGAUGUUACUUUCUGUUACACCAAAUGGCCAGCCUCCAGAGAGGUCACUAGAAAUUGACCAGCGAGUAGGCAUUAUUUCAAAAUAGUUCUUGAUCAUGGGAUUAAAGAACCAACUAGUAAGUGUGCCCAUUUAAAAAAAAAAAUCUGCCAAAGAAUCCUACCUCACAUUUGGAAAGUUCCUGUUGAAUGUGUGCCCUUCCGAUUCACUUCUUAUCCUUUCUUUCAGAAACACCCAAGAAAAGGAGGCCUUACCUUUGAACCACUCUCCUACCCAACCUUCCUGCUUCUGUCUGACCUACCUUCCUUCUUCAGCAGCUAGGAUCCUUUAAAAGUGAGCACCAAAUGAUGGGGAUUCUUCAGCCACAAGUGUCCUCUGAAAUUCUAUCUUACUUAGAAUAAAAUCUCUAGAUUUAUACAGUGUCCCGUGUAUGGGUGGUGGCUUAUUUUUUCCUGCCAAUUUCUUGCUUGUUCACACCACUCUCCGCCUGGCUUUCUUAUGUCACAGAUUCCCUGAGUACACUCUGGCCUCAGUCUUUCCAUGAAGCAACUCCCUUUUCUAGAACAUUCUUUCCCGCAUAACUCUCUGCUCUGUCCUCAUUAUAUUCUGAUCAGUAUUUGGAUGUCAAUUUCCAGUCAGGCCUUCUGUGCCCAACCUCUAAAGUGUGCUCUCCUUCUUUGCUGUCCCUAAGUCACUUUAUUGUAGACUAAAUGUUAGCAAUUUUUCACCAGGAUAUAAGCCUAGUGAUAAAGGAGUCAUUAUUCCACUGUCAUACUAGUUACAGAAUCCCGACUGUUCUGCAUUGGGUGCUUUACUAAGUUAUAAAGCUCAAUAAAAUAUUUUGACAAAGUUUUAAA